AACUAUUUUAUAGCUCAUAACAUAAAUCAUUAAAUUAUUUUACAAACUAAAACAAAACAUUUAAAUAAUUAUAGUAUAGGCGAUAG
This 86-nucleotide ribosomal RNA is filed under the name Pseudoromicia rendalli (Rendall's serotine). RNAcentral describes it as "Neoromicia rendalli (Rendall's serotine) partial 16S ribosomal RNA". The record is from RNAcentral. Lineage: Eukaryota; Metazoa; Chordata; Mammalia; Chiroptera; Vespertilionidae.